This is a non-coding RNA of Podarcis lilfordi (Lilford's wall lizard), 77 nucleotides long. The record is from the annotation of a GenBank genome assembly. NCBI's taxonomy places the organism in Eukaryota, Metazoa, Chordata, Lepidosauria, Squamata, Lacertidae.
ACCGGGGUCGAUUGCUCAGUUGGUAGAGGAUGAGGCUCUUAAUCUCAGGGUCAUGGGUUAGACCCCCAUGCUGGGCA